RNAcentral lists this ribosomal RNA (301 nucleotides) under uncultured bacterium. RNAcentral's name for it is "partial 16S ribosomal RNA". It matches the Rfam family "Bacterial small subunit ribosomal RNA", at positions 509 to 807 of the family's 1533-position model. The record is from RNAcentral.
CAGCCGCCGCGGUAAUACGGAGGGAGCUAGCGUUGUUCGGAAUUACUGGGCGUAAAGCGCGCGUAGGCGGUUACUCAAGUCAGAGGUGAAAGCCCGGGGCUCAACCCCGGAACUGCCUUUGAAACUAGGUGACUAGAAUCUUGGAGAGGUCAGUUGAAUUCCGAGUGUAGAGGUGAAAUUCGUAGAUAUUCGGAAGAACACCAGUGGCGAAGGCGACUGACUGGACAAGUAUUGACGCUGAGGUGCGAAAGCGUGGGGAGCAAACAGGAUUAGAUACCCCAGUAGUCCCUGUCUCUUAUAC